Molecule: long non-coding RNA, 18520 nt
Organism: Pseudopipra pipra
Lineage: Eukaryota; Metazoa; Chordata; Aves; Passeriformes; Pipridae
Exons: 2
Source: RefSeq, a predicted model, not a curated record
UGCAGAGGGCCUGUGGGCUCAGAUGCUGCCUGAAACAAGCAUCACACAUUAGAAAAGCUGCAAAGAUUUGACCCAACAGCUGCUGCAUCUUCUGCAGGGAUUUAAAGCACUGGAGCCCUUUCGUAACCUGGCAGGAAAGUCAGGCAUUUAUUUUUUUAACAUGUGCACAAAUGAUAUAUAGAAAGAGAGGUAUUUAUGUAUACACACACAGAGCCACAUGUGAGUAUGUAUAUAUUUACAUAUUUGUAUGUAUAUGAGUAGAUAGACAGAUGAAGAUGGACAUAUACUUGACUAAAAAAGACACUUGGAGUGGCCAAUUAACAACCAAGCACUUCAUUAUCUAGUUCAGCACUGGACUGAAAUCCUGUGCACCUCACAGGCUCAGCUAGUAAAUUAAAAUGCAACCUCUUCUUCUGUAGCCUGUGUGACACAUGGCAUGAGUGUGCAGCCUAAGGACCAGCAGCAGCUAACCUGCUACUGAGGACCAGUGACCCAUUUCCAUCUCAGUGGCUGAAACUGUGCCUAAUAUCUUUUUAAAGCCCCCAUGGUGGGGAACAAAAUGAGGUUGAGAGGGAAGAGACAGCAAGAGUGGGGAAAGCUGCUUUUUUGGAGAUAUGGUGGUUCCUGGUGUCAAACAAGACGUUACCAGUCCCUGCUCUGGGGUGAGGAUUCCAGCUCCGUUACCUUUGAGGAGAUGGCUUUUGCCACUCAGCUGAAUCCUGGGUCAAUGGCUCAUCAUUUCUUCCUGUGGUUUGUCCCAUUCCAAUGUCUUCCUUCCCCGUGCCCAGUCCUCGGUACUCAGGUCCUGUUUGAGACUCAAGCAUUAGGUCAGCUACUUCAUUUGUUGUUGCAGUGCAUUCAGCGCCUACUGAAACUGCCACAGCCUUUUAUACAUAAAAUAGAUAUAAUAUUUCUAGAGAAAUGAUAAUAUAUUAUAUAUAUUGGUAUGUGUAGAUAUACCAAAUAUACAUAAAAGAUAUAAAAGAUCUUUUAUAAAAGAUCUGUAAAAAGACAUCUGGCUGACCAUCCAAUACUGCCCCAACACCUGUGUCACCCACAAAUGGGUGCAGAAACAUAUCACCCAAACCAAGGCAACUGAAAAACCAGGCGCCAACAGUCAGUGUAUGGUCACGCACCCACAGUGAGUGUAUGCACACCGUGGCUAUGCUUGUUAGCCUGUUUCUUGGAAGUGAAAGUAUAGGGUAAGUUACCCCACAACAUAUGCUUUUUUCAUGAGAGGAAAGCAUUUACAAAAUUUACAAGACAGUUCUAUAGCUGUAAUAGGAGCUUGUACUGUACAUGCUUCUUAUGGCGCCUCGUUACUGGGCUCAUGCUAUAGAGACCUCACUGUUAUCUGCAGAAAACUUGGUCUCACUGGGCAUUUUCUGCACCACGCUUUGCAUUCCUCCUCUUUUCCCCAACCAUCCUUCCCCAACAAAGGCUCUUUUUUCAGGAGAAUUAAGGCGCAAAUCAUCAUAUCUGUUCCAAGGGCAGAGUGCGUUGGUCUUACUCUGUGAGGAGUACUGGCAUUCAUGGGGCUCCAACAGCUGGAUCUGAGCAUUUCCUUUAAUUGAACAGGUUUGCAGUCUCUCUGUGCUGAAGCAAUUCUCCACAUCACACAAGCCUGCAUACCAGAAUAAAAUGAAAAUUUAAGAGCGCUGGCUAACAAGACCGAGAAGCUCAUUGUUUAAACAAGAGGCUGAUUGUCUGGGUACUCAAGUGCCCCAUUCCUCCAACAUUAAACCCACACGAGGGACAGCAGCCUAAUCCACAGCUUGCCGCCAGGUGGUAUAGAAAUUAAUCUUCCACUUACCCGGGCUAUUAGUUGCGGUAUUCAUAAAGGUUUGCAACCCAACGAGGCAAGUGACUAAAAUUUUCUCCUUGUCAUAGAGGGUCAUGGCAACGUAGUGAUAUAAAAUAUCAGCCUGUCCCCUGUGGUGAGGAAAGUGUGAAUGAUGUGCAUGGGGAGGGGGGGGCAGGCGGGUGGGGAGAAUGGCACCCCAGCACCUUCUGGUUCAACAUGUGCAGCCCCAGGCUCUCUAACUGCACAGUGAAUAUGUUAGGGAAUAGGGGAUGGACUGGGAAAACCCAGGCUCACCAAGAACCUGAGCACAGGCCAGCAUAUCAUGCAGGGCUGAGCAAGUUUGGUGUUUAUGAAGAAAGGAAAUAAAUACUGAUUUUUCUCACAUUUUAGCAACAUCAAAACUCCCAUUUCUAGUCUGACAGGCCUCCUGCGAGUGCUGGAUACACAACAGAGUGACCCUCAUUAGGUCUCCCAAAAGCUCAGGACAUGUUUUGGAUCUGCUUGCCAGGACAUUUAACUCGUCUUCCUAACAGGGUAUUAGCAGAACAGAAGAGGAAGAGAAAUCUAGUCCUUUAUUAGUCCGCUGCUCCCUUAAAGUCCAGGGAGGAAAGGGAAAAUACUCAGCAGCAAGCAGGUGAUCAAAACAGGGACCACAUAAACAGAAACAUUUGGAAGGGUACAGCCUCGCGAAUGUUCAGCAUGAUUGCUUCCAGUUUUCAUCUCCUCACAUUUCACUGCAGACGUAAUUCGUCGCAAAGCACUGCCAAAACUUUUCACAACACCAAGGGACAUAGAGUUUGAUACAGAUAAUAAUAUUUACAAAUAUUACAAAUUUUCCCCCCAUACUUUCCUGGUGUUUUCCCAAAAGCUUGCAAUCCCAUCUGGCUACAGGUUAUCUUUCUGCCCUCUUAAUGACUUGCCUAGCCUCAGGAGCUCACAGUUGUGCCACAGGGAGAUGGCAGCCUCUUCCUUUGCAUAUGCGGGGCUGACAUAUCUUGCUGUGCAAAUGGAAAAGCAAACAGUCAGGGCCAAGCGCAAGUCAGUCCCUCACCAUGUGUUUGUGCAUGACUCUGACUUGGUGCCCAGGUAUGUCUUCAGGUCAUCCCAGGUUAUGCCCCAAGCUGGAGAAACAUUUUGCAAAACACAACAGCUUUUAACAAACAGUGACACCACAGUCCCCCUUUGCUACAUAUAUUCCUCCUGUCUGUGUCCUCACAUGGCAGCAAUUUAACAGUUUAUGCACCAACUUCUUCCACAUCUUCUGUCAAAUUUCCAGCUAUAUCAAAUUUUUAUUUUUCCAGGGUUUGAUUAAGUUAAAGGUCUAAAUUUUUGCCAGAUAAAAGUAGAACUGAACAAAUCUGAAAGGCUUUAAUGCAGGGUUGUUUGUUGUUUGUUUUUUUUAUGGAUCCCAUGAAUAGCAGCAGAGCUAAUUCAGAGCUUGGACUUAGAGGAAUUUGAAUCCAAAUUAUUUUAGUUCCUCUUUUGGCUUGCUUUAUAAAACAUACAGCCAGUAAUUCCACAGCCUCUCUCAAACUCCUUUCUAUAAAUAACAAUUUACCAUUGAAAAGAAAUGUAAAGGGUCAGAGCUAUGCUCAGAGAUUCACAUAUCACUCACAAAAGGAGCAAGUUGGACACAGGCUGAAAAGUAAAUUUCCCAGAAUGGGAAGAACUGAAGAAAUAAGAUAUUUAAUUCCUUCUGGUUCCUCAUCUUUACUUAAUCUGGUAUUAAUCCCACCAGCAAGCACUGCUGCACAGUGAGUCCCGAGACAACCUCACACCUGGCAAAGAGCAGAAGCAAGUCUGCAGUCCCACCACUAACCCCCAUUCUUAGUUGCCAGUGGAUCAAGCCUUUGGUAACUCCUUGAAUCACUCUCUGCACUGAUGUGACCUCACCUUGAGUGCUGUGUGCAGUUUUGAGCAUCGCAAUAUAAAAAAGGCACUAAGCUUUUAGAGAGUGUCCAGAGAAGGGCCAUAAGGAUGGUGAAGGGUCUGGAGAAGAAGCCUUAUGAGAAGCAGCUGAGGACAUUCAGUUUUGUCAGCCCGGAGAAGAGGAGACUGAGGGGAGACCUCACUGUGGUCUUCAAGGGGAAAUGGAGGGGAAGGUACUGAUCUCUUCACUCUCAUUACCAGUGAUAGGACUAGAGUUUCCUCUAGAAAUGGCAUGAAGCUGAGUCAGGGGAGGUUUAGAUUCGAUAUCAGGAAAAGGUUCUUCACUUAGAGGAUGGUUGGGCACUGGAACAAGCUCCCCGGAGAAGUGGUCACAGACCAAGCCUGUCUGAGUUCAAGAAGCAUUUGGGUAACAGACCCUAAUACUGUUUCCAUUUGAGAAGGUACAAAUAUUUCUCUUAUAUAGCUUACUGAAACUUGCGGCUGUAACAUCACUGCAAUCUGUUUUCUCCUGGAAAAGUUUGUUACUCAGUGUGAGAAAACCAUUUUGUUUAAUACUAAACUUUCAAUUAAAGCAUAUUUGUAUUUUAUAAGCACUGAGAAGUUAAAUAAGUUGUCUCUCUAUAUAUCAUAUCUCUAUAUAUCAUAAAUAUAAAAAAAUUACAGCUGGGUCCAUUGUCUGGUAAAAAAAUAAAAAAGCCAUCUCUGCUACUUGAUUUGUCUUGAAACACAUAACUGAGUUGCUUUUCCCACUCAUAGUCUGCUAUUCUUUAUACAUAAAGCCUACUUUCUAGGAGCACUUAAAAUAUUUGUACAUGUCUACCACAGUCCUAGAUUUAGCCAUGUGCUACUCUGAGCAGAUGGAAAUUAGGGUGGAAGCGUGUGGUUUACAGGAGUGACAGUCUUUAUGGAAAAAAACCCAAAAAAACAACUCACACCAAAAUUAGCCACUCAUGGGCUUUGUGCAGUCAUUGCUAUUGAAUACAACUGGGCAGAGGAAUAUUUGCUUUACACAUGCAGCAUUUUUCACACUGUGGUUAAGACACAGCCCCACGACUGCUGCAGGCACCACAACCUCAGAGAAAUACUUUGAGCCAAAUUCUGUUCUUUUAGAAAUCCCCUUCCACAGCUGUGAAACUUUUGUGGCCAUCUGUUCUGCACAAACCCAGCAUCGUUUGCUGAGUACUCCACCUCAGCAACCUGGAAAUCCCAGCCUGGUGAGCAUCUCCCCUCUUGCACCCUGUUAUCAUCCACUGAGAGCCAUUAUGACAUUUUUUUCUUUCAACCUUACACAGCUCUCACUUUCACAUUGGCCCUUCUGGCCCCAUCUUCUAAAAUAUGUCUUAGAAAAUGGAAGUUCCCAUCCAUACACACUUGGUCCACACAUAGUGAAUUCAGUGGGAGCUCUUGGCAGAGGACCACCCUGCCUCCAAAUCAGGGCCUCCUCUCAUCUCUAAACCAAUUUUGAAAAUGCAACAGCACCUGCCAAGCAAGGACAAAUCAUUAAAACAUCUCAAAUUGUCACUGUUCCCCUUUUGUUCAAAGGAAACAAGGAACACUAGAUGGCCCACAACCCAACAGCUAUCCAAAGACAGAAGGUCAUCUGCCACUAAUCCACUACAGACUCUGUAACACAUCAUACAGGGACCAAGGGCAUUAGGGCCCCAUGAGACAAAGUCUGGGAGCACUGAUGAGCAAGUCCAUCUAUCUCCCCACAGCUCAGCUCCCAGUCUGUAACACAGGGCUCUUCCCUUGGGAUGGAUAUUCCGAUAUUACACUUACAGGCUGCAAGAUCAUAAGAAACAAACAAAAAUACAUUUUUUUUUAAGACUAGUGAUUCCUUCUUCCAAUCGUUCUCCAUUAUAGAAUAUUCUUUAUGUCCUUCGUCAGUCUUGUACUUGGUUACAGAUGGAAAAUAUUAGCUCUGGUUUACAAAACAUGGCCCCGUUUCCUGUAACACAGCACAGGUUGGACAAAUCUGUCAUUUGAGUAGUGUGUCUAUUCUGUGGCCAAUUCUGUAAUCUACAAGCAAUGUGAUCCUAAACAAGGAAUCUCAUGUUAGCAGCCAAGAUUGGAAAAUCCCUGUUUAGUGUGAUUGCUGCCAAAACCAUCUCACUUGCUAAGGACAAGCUAAUUUUCAAUCUGCAGUUUGGGAGCUGUUGGUCUUACUCUUCAGUUCUUUUUUUGUUUGGUUGGUUUUUUGUUUUGUUUCACUUGUUUUUUUUAAGAAAUAAAACAUGCCCCAUUUUCUAAGAUGACACAAACAAACACCUGAUUUAUAAAUGUACAAAAUGGAUUUAGAAGAGUUUAGGAUAUAUGAAAACAUAUUCCACUCCCUAUUUAUUAAAAAAAUAUUCUGUUUUUGAACACAAUUUGAACAAAUGACUUCUUGCAAAUCUGAAGAGUUGUAAUUCAGAACAAAGAGCAACAAGACUGUUGUGUACAAAUAAGAGGAGAAGAGCAAGGAAACAAAGAAAAAAGUGUUAUAUCACAGAGAUAAGACAGAUCAAGGAUGAUCUAGAUACAGCUUUAAAUGAGAACUUGACCUCAGUUUUGAUCAUCUCAUAUCCCCACUGCUAUUAUUUAUAUCGCCUUGAUCCAUCUUGCAAACUAAGAUGGAAGUAAAGCUCAAGAAAUUUAAUAUAUCCAGGUUGGCAGACACAGAAAUGAAAGGCAGAAAAAGCUACAUAAAUUAUUAAUUAUAAGUUUUUCAGGUUGCAGAUGCUUCCAGCUGAUAAAAAAAAGAAAUGCAGUGCCAAUAUUUAAAAGUAGAGCUCAGAGAAAUUACUCAAAAGAAUUACAUUUAAGUAUUUAGUGUUUUUGAAGAAAUCUUGAAGGAAAGGAGAGAGGAGCUUGAUUAGACAAAGGAGAAGGCAAGCGUAUAAUAUGCACCAACUCCAAAACAGUGUGAUCUUUCUUACACUCUAUCACUAGAGGAGUCCUCAGAAGACAUGGAGGAGUAUUCGUGUCACUACACAAGUGUCAACAGUAUCUCCUUCAGUUGCUAUGUUUCAACUCAGUAUUAAAGAAAGGAGAAUUUCAUUUUGAAAUAUGUGCAGGGAGAGGUCACAGAAAACAAUCUUGAGCCAGACCUGGCCUCAUUUGGUAUCACAUGUACAUUUUCCAGGGUUUGAAUUCUUCUGCCUUUGCUCUUCUAAAUGCUCCUUCUGUAGUUUCCUACAUGAAGAGAGUCCUUCUGUUUAAAGAAAUUUGGGAUGGCAGGUUGUGGGGUUUUCUUUCUUUUUUUUUUUUUUUUUUUUUAAAGUUAGAUAUUACUAAUGUUAAUUUUUCUUCCCUUUUCACUUCUUGUAAAAAUUUAAAUUCAUACACAUUACAGCAUUUCACACUUUGCCAGCCUACUGAGCUCAGGGGUUGAUGGCUUAUCUUAGUACAUGGGUGGUAAAAUAGGAGGAGGAGGUUGCACUGUCAGAGCAAUCAAUGUCUGGAGCAGUUUCUCGUGGAGAGAUGUAUGAGCAAGACUCAAGGCUCUAAGGUUGAGCUUGGUAAAGUUAGGAGGACUGUCCUAUGUUUCCUAUGACAGAGAUUUUUAUGGGACAGGAACCAUGAUUUUCCACGUGUUACUGACAUGGCAUCCUCUAAGCAUUACAAUCCAUGUGCUGUUGUCAAUGUCUGCCUGGCAGGUUUGUACUUUGCCAUCUGCAAAAUGAAGGGUCAACUUCGUCCUGCCCAAUUUGAUAAUGCAACCCACACAAAAAAUUUCAAUUUUAAUUCCCCAAGCUGCCUCAGCUCAUGAGGUUUUUAUCUCCUAUCCAGCACACUUAGUUACACUGAAGAAAUCCCUCUUAGAAAGAAUACACUGCAAGCGUUGGACUCAGUUAUGUGAUUAUCCAGCACUUCUCUGCAUCUCUGGCCCUUCAUCUGUGUGGCACAGUCUGGUCCAGACCAACUCCCACUGGGAAACACCAGCGCUGAAAGCCUCAGGGAAAUUUCUAUGGCCUCCUAAAGAGCAUCUCUCAUUCUCUCAUCCCAUGCAUCAUCUCUAGCAGAGUGCAGAAGCUAAUAAUAUCCCUCUGCUUCUGUUAUAUAGCAUUUCCUCCUCUUUAACUUUUACGGGUUGCAUUACCAGCUGCUCCUUUGCCUCUGCCACAUAACCAAGUGUCAAAAGAAGGCAUAAAUCAGUUUAUGGUAUUCAUGAAAUGGAGAAAUUGGUGCUUUCUUUCCUUCAGAAGGACUAGAAUUUCAAAUGCAGCUUCUAAAUAUACUUUAAGAUUAAAUUAUUUUAGUUAGUAUUUAAAAGAUUUUUUAAGAGACAAUGCAAAUCCAGCUUUUCUUGGAGAAGGCAUAUACUGAGGUUUCCUCAAGAAAGUCACAGCUACUGGUUGGCACAAGAGGGACAAAGCCACAGAUCCCAACGAGGGACACACUUGGCCAUGACAGCCAAAACCCUUCCCUGCUGCUGUUGUACUCUUGAAAACAUCCUUGUUGGAGAGCUGGAGCUAAAGAGUAGGUUGGCCACAGGUAUACUGGACCAAAAUCCCAAGUCAAAGUCUCCAUGUGUCUCACCCUGUCCAUCCCCUGUAUACCAAUUCCCUACUUUUUUUUUACCAGAGACAAAAAGCCUCAAUACAAGACUACCAUCAGGGAAAUGAGUUAUUCCAAACAACUCUCUUGUGGUUUGCUAUAACUUUUUCCUUCAAUUGAUAUUUCUAAUAAAACACAAAGUAUCAAUAUUAGUAUUUAUUGCUUCCAAAUAUAAAUACAGAAAUUGUACAUUAAAAGUGAACCACGUAUUUGAUUAUGAAUGUAUAUUUGAUUUAUUCUUAUCAAAUUGACAAAAAGCUGUUCUCUUAGUAUUUAUGUUAAAAUACUUUGUCAAGAUAGUUUCCUGAAAUAUUUUCUCAGCAACAGUGAUUAGAUUUCAAGCAUUAGAUGGAAAUAAUGAAUGAUUGACCAAGGGGAAACAAAAUAGAGUUAAAUAUUUUUUUUUAAUUCAGGAACUAAUUUAGAACAACUGAAAUUUAAGCUGCUUGCAUUCAUCUAGGAAAUACUAACAGGAGUAACUAUUUGCUCUCUACUAGCACCCCGUCUUUAGUUUCACAUGAAUGAUAAUCCAGGCUGCUUUUGCCUUAGGAGCCAGGAGUUAUGUUUCCCACUGACCUUCUACAGAGCCUUCCAAAAAUAAGGAACCAGGAGAGGGAUGGCACCAAGCGCCCAUGGAGUGCUGACGGCUCUUCCUGCUUUGCAUCAGAGAUGCUUUCAUAUUCUUAAAUGCUUUUCCAGUGUUUCUCUACAAAGAUGACCAUGAAAACACUAACUAAUGAAAGUCAAAUGCUUUUCAUUUUUUUCUGUUAAACAAUUCAAAUCCUUUUAUCUUCUAAAGAAAUAAUUUUAUUAUAUUCCAAAAACUCUCAGGAGUGACAUUUGAAACUAUCAGCUAAGAGUCUUCUUUUUAGGUAUUCACUUUUUAAGGUGCACAUAAAUAUUUUUCAAUGUCACAAGUAAAAUUUUAAUGACAUUCAUGGAACACACAGCUGUAAAAAUGAAGUGAUUGAUACACUGCAGUCUUCUCCUCCCUUUGAAGAAAGAGAGAGUAGGCACCUACACAGCAAGGCCAGGACAAAAUGACCUAAUAUUUAAUAUAAAAACUUGUGUGAUAUCCCCUCUUCUAGAGUUCCUUUCAUAUAGAAGAUAAGUAGGAAUACAGAAAAAUUGUUCCCUUUUAAGAUGACUUUUAACUCCAUACUAUUUGUUUUCAAUUCUCAACCAAAAGACCAAAUGGCACUGUACUUUUUUUUUAGUUUAAAAAAACCCAAGCAAAACCACACAAUUCCCUGCUACCAUUCUUGAAAAGCAAAAGCCUUUCACAAGGAAUAAUAUGAUAAAUUCAUCUUUGCAAGUGUCACUUGCUCAUAAAGGUAUUCUGUAUUUAAUUUUGGGAAAUGAAAAGAUGUGUCAGAAAAUCUUAAUUAGUAGAUUUGCCAUUUAUCAGACAUUCUGCUUUACUACCUUUGUUUUCACUCCUGCAAAUGCUUUUUGCUAAGGCACAAUAGACUUCUUUUCAUUAGGAAAUAUUAAUUGUUUUAAUUGUUUGGAAUUUCAUACUCUGUGCAGGUGUGAAAGGCUCCAGUGACUAUUCCUUCAAGUGGUGUACAUUUCAGUGGUAAAACACCACUAAUUAUCCAGGCAUAAAUUACAUUUUUCCCUUAUUUUUAAAAAAAAAACAAAACAAACCCCAAAGACACACAGACCCUCACCCAGUCCUGCAGGGGUUUUAUGUAUUGCUGCCAUUUUUGUAUAGUAAAUUCCAUAUUCUUAUUUCCACAAAAACAAUUUCACUACCAAUUUUAUUCAGAUAGCUGCUGCUUUAAGAUAUUUUCAGAUUACAGACCCAUUCCACCCAACAAUGAAUUUAAAUAACAUAACCAUUAAGAGCAUGAAAACAAGGCAUUAAGAAGUCACAGCUCAGCUAUAGCACAGCAAUCUGUUGAAAACUCAGUGAACACAAGGUUACUCAAACCUCCUUUUUUUAGUGCCUUGUUAAACUGCACUUAUGUCUUACCCUACAGACUCACACAAUAAAGUCAUGAACAAUGGUGAAAUCAUCCCCACUGUCGACUGGCUUGGCACAACAGAUGAGCUACCUAAAAGAAACCCUGUCUGGAAGAAGGGAUGCACAUUGCCAUCCCAAAUGGGGGGACAUUUUUACCCUGCUCCCAUCACAAAAUUCCUAGAGCUGAAUUUACAUUAUUACUGUUGGAUUUUCCUGCAAAGGUGCACAUGAAUUUACAGCUGAUGAACUAAUCAUUUAUUCUUCUUGGUAAAAAAAACUAUUGUUCUGAGUACUGAAGGUCUAAAUGACACCCAAAGGUACAGGACUUUAGAUGGUAGUGUGGGGGAGCUUUGCCAAGAGCCCCAGAGGAGCUGCAAACUGAACAAGAGCAGAAGAUGUCUUUGCACUGACAUGCCACAAAGAGGAGAGCUGACAAAAAAAAUAAUUCUCUAGGGCUCACUUGAACAUUGUCUCUGUUCACCAGUUGCAAAUGGAGAUAUCAGAGUUUCCUUUAUUAAUAUCAUGAUGCUACUAGAUGGCAUCAGAUAUUUACUAUUGCUAUACGACUCUCUUGGGUGCUCAUGAGCAAAAAGAAUCAGAUGAGCGUGAUCUACAGCACUUUUUAUCCACACUCUCCUCCCACCUCCAAAUUGUGAAUAUAGAAUAUUGUAAAGAUGUAGGGGCUAAAGCUGAUUUUAUAUAUAAUAUGCUAUAUAACAUAGCCAGUCUCCACCCUUGUCACCUACUCCAAAGAAAAUGUUUGAAACUCUUUAUUUUACAGAGGAAUUGAAAUUAAAAAAAUUUCAAUUUUCUUCCUCAAAUACCCAAAUAUUUUGGGUAACUGAAGGCAUUGUUUGGAUGUGUAGGAAUCAGAAAAGCUAAGGCAGAGAUCGAACAGGACUUGCCAGGGGAUGUGAAGAAUAACAAAAAGGGAUUUUAUAAGUACAUAGGUCCAAAAAGGAAGGCCAAGGAGAGUGUACAGGAUGAAUAUGAGAAGAGACAUGGAGAAGGCUGAGGUUCUCAACGAAUUCCAUGUUUCAGUCUUCACUGGCAGUCAGGCUGCCCAUAUCCCUCAAGUCCCUCAACCUCCAGGUGGGGUUGGGGGAGCAGAGUCUCUCCCUCUGUAAACAAAGAGCGGGUUUGAGAUGACCUGAUGAAACAGAAUAACCUCAAGUCUAUGGGACCAGAUGAGAUGCAUCCUGGGGUCCUGAGGGAUUGGCUGAUGUUGUUGCCAAGCCACUCUCCAUCGUAUUUGAAAAGUCAUGGUGGUCAGACUUACCCAGUGACCGAAAAAAGGGAAAUACCACUCCUAUUUCUAAAAAGGGGAGAAAGGAAGACCCUGUGAAAUACAGACCAGUGAGCCUCAUCUCUGACCUGGGAAGAUCGUGGAACAGAUCCUCGUGGAAGCAAUGCUAAGACACAUGCAAGGCAAGGAGAUGAUCUGAGACAGACAGCAUGGCUACAGUAAGGGCAAAUUGUGCCUGACAGUCUGGUGGCUUUCUGUGAUGGAGCUGACAAAGGAAGACAGACUGAUGACAUCUACCUAGAUUUCUGUAAUGUCUUUUAUAGAGUCCCAACAUGACAUCCUUAUCUCCAAAUUGGAGACAGAUGGAUUUCAUGGAUAGACUAUUCAGUGGAUAAGGAAUUGUCUGGAUGGAAGCAACUGGAGAGUUGUGAUCAAUGGCUCUAUGUCCAGGUGGAGGACGGUGAAAAGUGGUGUUCCUCACGUCUCUGUCUUGAGACCAUUGUUCUUCAAUAUCUUCAUCAGUGACAAAGACAGUGAGAUCAAGUGCACCCUCAGCAAGUUUGAAAAUGACCUGAAGCUGGGCAGUGCAGUGUCACAGCAGAAGGAAGGGAUGCCACCCGGAGGACCUGGACAAACUUGAGAAGUGAGCCCACAAGAACCUGGUGAAGUUCAACAAGGCAAAGUGCAAGGUCAGUGAAGUAUUUGGCCUUGAUAUCAUGAAGACAACAGAGCUUGAUUCACAGUGGCAGCAUCUUGUAAACAAUGAAGUCCAUGUAUGUGGACAAUGUCAAGAAAUUAUAAUUUUUAUUUGUAUUCUUAUGUAAGCAAUCAUCUCUAACUUCCUAAAAACAAAGCCUGUUUCCUAACAGGUUGCAGAGGGGGGACCUUUUGCCCCACUCUGCACUGCUUCUGUGACAGUGUUUGAUGAGAAGAUAUUCUUAAGUUUAAAAAAAGUGAACAACAAGUUUCUGUCAAUUCAUUAAUGUUACUUGUGCUACCUAACAGGACUCAAUGAAAAUCUUAUCUAAAAAAAGUUACAUAGUUUUUAUUAGGUAUGUAGAGUUAACAGAAGCACAGCUCCUAUAUACCCACUAGGAAUGAUUCCAUCAACGUAAGUCACCUUUUCAAUCUCCCAAGAUUGUUGCAAUAAACUGAGCUUCCACCACAAUCUUAUGCUUUCACAGAAUUACACCAUCUUAUAUCUCCCCAUUACAGGAUUACAAAAACAAUUGCCAGUAGCAACAUUAUUAAAAUAAAAGGUCACUCUUUUGCAUAAAAAGGUGUAGCACAUAAGGAAACUCUGCAAUUACAGUGUGGAUCCAGAUCAGAUUUUCCUCCAGGUCUCCUCAGACCCUUCACACAACCACCACACUGGGCCAAACCCUGCCCUGCACCACGAGCCAUGUAUCCAGCACACUGGUCCUGGGGCUGGGGGACCCCGCAAGCUGCAAGCCAUCACGAGCUGUCAACAGUCUCCACAAAUCUCACAGACAUCUGUGGCUUAUCAAGCCAGCAGCAUUUUUCCUACAUUAAUCUCCACUAGGCUUGCCCCAGCUUUCAUUUCAAAAGACUUGGCAUGGUAUCUUCAAAAAAAAAAAAAAAAAAUUAAAAAAAUUGCUCGAUUUCUUGAGAUGCAGCUGGUUAGGAGGACCGCCUUUGAAAUCUGAGCACGUCGCAGAGACGUCGACAUGCUCACUGCAGGCAGCUUGCAGCACAGGGGACAGCACUAAUGACUGCAAAAGGCUUUUAGAUGCUGCCUGUGGGCGAGCCCUGCCCUUCCUUUGGGGGAGUUUGGGGAGAGCUUUAAGUGGCUGUUGUGCUGGGGGCUCAUUUGGAUACAGUGCACUUGUGUUGAACACCCUUCACCAGCCAUCAGUUCUCCCAGCAGCUCUCAAAAUCCAGCUGGAAGGGUUGCAGCACCCUCCCACUGGUCACCAGCAAUGUUGGUAUACUUGUUCUCCAAUGCUGGCUUUGCAGACUGUGGUUGAAUUAAGGCAGCAGCCUUCACUGGUGAUGUGAUGAAAGCCCAGGAAACUGUUCCAGCACCGUGGACCCCUCACCCCACUGGUCAUCCCGUGUCCCACAGCCCUGGCCACAACAUGGUUCCCAUGCCCCCAACUGCACCUGAUGCUCAGGGACAUCCCAGCCUCUGCAAACAGGCUCUUGAGGACACAUCUUCUCCUCACUGCCCUGGAGGUGCUCCUUGUUCCUUUACAUGUCAGCUCAUGUUACACCACAUUUUAAAAGGCAAAGACACUUCACUGCACCACUCUUACUAGAAACUAAAGUUCAUCUUUGCUCAACAGAAAUUAAUCACCAGAGGUUAAUCUCCUGUUAGAACCAGACAGCGCCAACCACAGGCUUUUCUCAGAGCUCUCAUGAAACAGUUUCUGUUAGAUCCAAAACAUCUCAAUAGAGAGAGCAAGUAUGUCCUACUCUUUUCUUGCCUUUUUUUUUUUUUCCAAAUAACCUGAAGGAGCUCUUAUUACCUUUUCAUAAAAAUCUUAGGGUGUAAGCAGGAAUUACACUCAUUUUCUUUGCAUGGUCAAGAAAUAUUAGCACAACAAAAGACUAGCCACCAGUGUCUCAGUUUACCUGGCACCUUUCAAUGUCCCUAUUGAGUGCAGGUGGGGCAAGUAGACUGGUGUCCUUAUGGGUCAGAAAGCACAGGAGGAGGGAUGGCUGUGCUCCACACAGACGGAAGAAAAAGGACUAAUGGUGUUUACAGUUACAGUCCAUUUUCAGCUCCAGCUGUCUCAAAGCAGAGUGACAUAAAACACAUAGGUUCAUUAUAUUUCACAAGAGGAUAUCCAUAUCCUUUCAUAUUACAUUAAAAAUGUCAAAAUAUCUUUCUGUCCAGAGUGUGCAUUCCAGGAAAAGGUCAGAGCAGCAUUUUCAAUGUUGAGCACGUGGUGCUCAUCACUAGACCAACUCCUCCCUGCCACGAGCAUCUCAAACUGAGUUAUCAAUUCAGAUAUCCUUCCCUCUACAGCAGAGGGAUGAUUUUAAAACCAGACAGUGGGUGUAUAUUUAUGUAUACACACACACACAAGAGUACCAUUUCAUUUGAAUCAAGGUACAUUAAAAAUUUAAGGCAAACUUUAGAUCCAUCUGAACACAAUCUUCUCUGAUCAAGAGAAUGUUAAAAAUUUAAUUUCUAAUUUCUCCAGAAAUUCAAGUAAGCAAGUACAUUGUUAAUAUUUUCAAGAAAAGAACCAGUAGCUCACUUAUCUCUUUAUAGUGGUCUACACAUGUACUGUGAAAGAUUUAUUGCAUCAUGGAUUUGAUCCCUCUAUGGGCCAUUCACUUAAAAGUUAGAUUCUAUGAUCCUUAUGGGUCCCUUCCAACCCAGAAUAUUCUGUGAUUCUGUGACUUUAACGCUGAAGUAGCUUGGAAACAGCUUUAAGUAUCACUGUCCAAUGGCUCCAUUAAAUGCGUGGGACACCAAGAUGCUCGUGGCUUCAUGUAGGCAGGAAGAAUUGUGACUAACAAAUGGACUAACUUAAGGUGUCUUUUUAUACAAAACUUUAGAGCCAAUUCAUCCUGGUCCUGAAGUAGCUGAAGAUUUAUAGCUCACUUCCUGCCUGAAGACAGGGUUGUAGUUAGGAGUUGUUGGAGUCCCAUCAACUUUGACACAGGAAUUUGUCACAUUCAGAGACAGGAAUUUAAUAAAAAGCGAGUUUUAUUAAGAGGACUGCCAGAAACACUCAAACCAGUAUGUCAGGGAAACUCUGGUCUUGCCUUUAACUCGUCAGCAGCAGUCACAAAAUAUAACUCUGCACCAAUUAUCUGAUGAUUAAUCUGAAAACAAAUCUUCCCACUAGCCACGUUUCUUUAAAAAUUAGAUUUUUAUGUAACUAAUGUGAUAAGUACUCAAAAAAAAGGAACCUCAGCCCUCUGCACUGAGUUUAGAGUGUCCAGUCACUUCUGGGUGACAUUUCCAAAGGAGAAGAGAGCCUUGGGACACUGUGAUGAGCACUACAGGGAUCACAGAAUCACAGAUACAUUUAGUUUGGAAAAUACCUCUGAGAUCAUUAAGUCCAAUCUUAGGCUGAUCACCACUUCGUCAACUAGACCAUGGCACUAAGUGCCACACCAGUCAUUUCUUGAAUACCUCCAGGGAUGGUGACCCCACUAUCUCCCUGGGCAGCCCAUUCCAAUGCCAGACAACCUUUCAGUGAAGAAAUUCCUCCUGAUGUCCAGGAUCUUGCAUUAUUCUCCCAGUUCCAUAAUGCAAACCCAAGUUUUCAAAUCUGAUGAUAACUCUUAAAUUCCAUUUUCAGCCAUAGGAAAGAAAAUAAAUUUUUCUAAAUUAAAGAAUCCUUUCCCUCAGCAAAAUCAAUAGUUCCCCGCUGAUAAACCCCAACAGACAGCUUAUUCUUAGAGACAAAUUUGAAAGAAUGACACCAAACAAUAAGCUCAGCCUUUUCACUCUACUUUAAUAUUGCUCUUUCUCUGAGCUAUUGUAAAUCUUUAUAGAGUUAUGGAGACACCUAUCUCCAUAUCCAGACUACCAGCUUUUAUAAAUUGAAAUAACACCACUGAGGUCACCUUUACAAUUCCAGGACCAAACCUACGAACCAUCAAUUGCUUCUUCUCACUAUAUCUUUAAAGGAAGUUGUGAACAUCAAAGAACAUGUAUAAUGAAAAGUGAAAUGCAACUCCAUAGGAAGACACUUGCCUGCCAACCGUGUCCUGGGGGUCAUCCGGCACAGCAUCGCCAGCUGGUCGAGGGAGUGGAUUGUCCUACUCUGCUCUGCACUGUGGCGGCCUCACCUUGAAUACUGAGUGCAGUUUUGGGCACUGCAAUAUAAGAAAGAUAUUAAGCUAUUAGAGAGUGUCCAAAGGAGGGCAACAAAGAUGGUGAAGGGCCUUAAGGGGAAGCUGUAUGAGGAGCGGCUGAGGUCACUUGGUCUGUUCAGGGGACUGAGGGGAGUCCUCACUGUGGUUACAACUUCCUCGUGAGGGGAAGAGGGAGGUAGGCACUGAUCUCUUCUCUAUAGUGAUCAGAUGAACCCAAGGGAAUGGCCUGAAGUUGUGUCGGAGGCAGUUUAGGCUGGAUAUUAGAAAGGAGUUCUUCACCCAGGGUGGCUGGGCACUGGAACAGGCUCCCCAGGGAAGUGGUCACAGCACUAAGGCUGACAGAGUUCAGGAAGCUUUUGGAUGAUACUCUCAGGCACAUGGUGUGACUCUUGGGGAUGGUCCUGUGCAGGGAUAAGAGUUGGACUCGAUGAUCCUUUUGGGUCCCUUCCAACUCAGCAUAGUCUGUGAUUCUGUGUGAUUCUGUGACUGCUCUUAACUCACAGAUAUUUUUCUUAUUUUUUACCUUUCCCCUACGCUACCUCAUCUUAACCUAUUUCUUUAUCUCAAGCACUGUUAUUCCUAAUCUUUUGGUCUGCUAGAGACUAGACUUCCAUUUUUUUCUGAUACCCAUGCAUGUCCAGCCAUAGUGGUCCAUCAACUGCUUGCCGUGAACUGGACUCAUUUCUAUUUUUUAUUUUAAAUAGUCUUACCCAUUCUAAGAGGGGACAUUGCUUCUCUUGUUCUCGUUGCAAUAAGAUUUUGUAUACUUAUGUAUAUCAAGUACAUAUUUGGAUGACAUGUUAGUUACAUUUUAUUUCAUCAGACCCUCUUGAAACUUGAGAAUUUCAAACUGAAAUUGUAUGGAGUGCUCAGGAUUUGAAAGCCUUCCCACUUAAUAGACGGUUUUCUCUCCUGACUCAGGAAGCUGACUACAUCCUUGUCAGCUUUCCUUGGCUCUGGGUUUGCCUGCCACCAACUAAACUAUAGAAAAACAAAAUACGUUUCCUUUUCAUCUCCUCUGUUCUCAGGCCUGUUUUAGGUCAUGUUUUAGUAGCCCUUGUUCAUAGUAGCUUUUGCAUACAAAUCUGUAGGGUUGUUAAGCUGUUAGGUUCAUGCUUCCCCCAGGCUUAAAGUCAACUGAAAACAGUUUCGGGCGUAAUACAAGUGUUUGCUUUUGUAGCAGUAGCUUACAGCACUCCUUGCUGUAUUAAACAAUGCUUUCCAGCCCUAUUGCACUCUCAGUACUCAGAGCACGUUACUGACAUCAUUGCCUGAUGUCACCAAACAACCCCACCUGUACAAAACCAAUAGUUACAAUUUUCUUUAAUUGUCCCAGGCUCUUUAAAGCUUCUUUGCUCUUCUUAUCAGUCUUCAGAGAACCACAGAAUGGUGUGGGUUGGAAGGGACCUUUAAGAUCAUUUCAUUGCAACACCCUUGCCAUGGGCAGGGACACCUUCCACUAGAUCGGGUUGCUCAGAAACCCAUCCAACCUGGCCUUGAACUCUGCCAGGGAUGGGGCAUCCACAGGUUCACUGGGCAAGCUGUUCCAGUGCCUCACCACCCUCACAGUAGAGAACUUCUUUCUAAUUUCUUUCUAAUAUCUUAUCUAACCUACUCUCUUUCAGUUUAAAGCCAUUACCCCUGGUCCUGUCACUACAGUCUCAAGUCUACAACUUUUCUCUCAGCUUUUUCUUGUCAUAUCUCCUACGUGUCCCAUCUUUUUUUAUUACAGCUUUUAAUUAAUUAAAAGCAGUGAAGAAAAGUUUUAUUGUUAGCUGUUUCCCACCCCAAAUAGCGUUCUUUCCCCACAUCAUAUUGAAAGAGACAGGGUAUACCCAACACCACCAAGAACAGUGUAGGUCAACUUCAAAGCAGGUUCCUAUUGACACACUAAUUCCCUGUCACCUCAGAGAUUUCACGUGCCAAUUUCUUCAAUAAUUAGGCUCUGCAAGCCAAGAGGUGAAGUUAUUAUUUUAAUAUUAGCCUUCCUUUUAUCUUUGAAAAAGAGCAUUUGUUUUGGCACUAUCAAGACAAACCUUAAUAAACUGACUGGCAAACAGUAUGUUUAGCAAUGAAAAUGAUACCCGGACAGGGAUUAUAAUGUAAGCAAUAAGAGGGAAUAGAGAGAUUUAGGAAAGGAUGUGAUUUAUAAUGACUUUAAGAAGGAUAAGCUUCUACAUCUGUGAUUGCUUGAUUCUAUAAUAUUUUAAUUGAUUAUCAGAGCUAAGAGGUUUAUUUUUUCAUGUGAAUAAAAGCUGUUUUACUUCAA